Hydra vulgaris (swiftwater hydra) is the source of this 574-nucleotide long non-coding RNA. RefSeq lists it as uncharacterized. NCBI's taxonomy places the organism in Eukaryota, Metazoa, Cnidaria, Hydrozoa, Anthoathecata, Hydridae. The record is from RefSeq and is a predicted model, not a curated record.
UGCCUUACAAAAAAACCCAGCGAACUUCCAGCGAAAGUUCGCUGGAAAUUAAAAGAUCACUGGAAAUUUACUAAGAUCACUGGGUUUUCGCUGGAUUUCCAUGGAAACAAAAGACUUCGCUGGAAGUUCGCUGGAAAUCCAAUGAAAAACUUCCAGUGAUCUUAAAGUUCGCUGGAAUUUUACUGGGUUUCUUACGAAAUAUUUCGCGGUGAUGUAAAAAGCGUUGCUGUUACAACUUCUGCAAGCAGUUAAAACUUGGAAAAUUGAUAAUAUAGCUUCUUAAAAUAAUAUUUCAAAUUUUUGUAUAAAAGUAAUCCUUUUUAUUUUAUUUUUUGCAUCUAAUAGAUGAUCUAUAGUGUGAGUUUCAAAUAUUAUUAGUUCUACUCAAGUUACAAAACAAAAUCAUCUGGUAGUUUAAUGAUUAUAAUGGUUGCCAUUGGUGUUCUUCUCAAGGGGUAAAAGUUAAAAAAAGAAGACACUGUACUGUUGUAAAUAAUCUUUUAUCUGCAAUCAGUGUGCCAAGCAAUAUAAGACAGACUCGAUGAUCAUUAAGUUGUAUAAAGCAUUGGAAAGG